Myotis daubentonii (Daubenton's bat) is the source of this 897-nucleotide long non-coding RNA. RefSeq lists it as uncharacterized. NCBI's taxonomy places the organism in Eukaryota, Metazoa, Chordata, Mammalia, Chiroptera, Vespertilionidae. The record is from RefSeq and is a predicted model, not a curated record.
GCUAAGAGGCUGCAGCAGUUAAAAGCAGAGGACAUGAGCCCUAGCUGGUGUGGCUCAAUGGACAGAGCAUCGGCCUGUGGACUGAAGGGUCCUGGGUUCGAUUCCCGUCAAGGGCACAUGCCCGGGUUACAGGCUGGAUCCCCAGUGUGGGUAUGCAGGAGGCAGCCAAUAGGUGAUUCUCUCUCAUCAUUGAUAUUUCUAUCUCUCCCUCUCCUUUCCUCUUAGAAAUCAAUAAAAAUAUAUUUAAAAAUAAAAAUAAAAAAUAAAAGCACAGGACAUGAGUCCGAGCCGGUUUGGCUCAGUGGACAGAGCGUCGGCCUGCGGACUGAAGGGUCCCAGGUUCGAUUCCGGUCAAGGGCACAUGCCUGGGUUGGGGGCUCAUUCCCCAGUAGGGGGUGUGCAGGAGGCAGCCAAUCAGUGAUUCUCUCUCAUCAUGGAUGUUUCUUUCUCCCUCUUCCUUCCUCUCUGAAAUAAAAAUAAAUAAAUAAAAAUACAAGAAGAAUGAAAUACUUAAAGAAGAAAAAAAGCAUAGGACAUGAGCCCAGACUUGGGCUCGAAUCUUGACUCUAACACUCCUCGAAGCUUCUUGGUCUUGGGCAAGCUGCUUGGCUUUUCCGAGCCUCAGUGUCCCCAUCCGUGAAAUGGGAACACCCUGCCCCACUGUGCCCUUUGGUGAGUGUGGAGGCCCCUGUGAGGCUGGGAACUCGCCCGCCGUGCCCGCAGGCCCUCACCGGUUCAGGAUCCAGACCUCCUUGCUGCAGGCCAGGGCUGCGCGGAGCUUAUCCGCUUCGUUUACCAGGGUGGCUUUCCGGAACUGCUCCCAGGCGAAGUCCCACUCGGCCUCGCCGCCCUGGGCGAUGGCGUUGCAGUAGAUGGUGGACCGCAGGUUGGGGUGGA